UACAGAGGGUGCGAGCGUUAAUCGGAAUUACUGGGCGUAAAGGGCGCGUAGGCGGUGCCAUGAGUGUGAUGUGAAAGCCCCGGGCUUAACCUGGGAAGUGCAUCGCAAACUAUGGAACUGGAGUAUAUGAGAGGGUGGCGGAAUUUCCGGUGUAGCGGUGAAAUGCGUAGAGAUCGGAAGGAACGUCGAUGGCGAAGGCAGCCACCUGGCAUAAUACUGACGCUGAGGCGCGAAAGCGUGGGUAGCGAACAGG
This 253-nucleotide ribosomal RNA is filed under the name uncultured bacterium. RNAcentral's name for it is "partial 16S ribosomal RNA". It matches the Rfam family "Bacterial small subunit ribosomal RNA", at positions 524 to 776 of the family's 1533-position model. The record is from RNAcentral.